This 261-nucleotide ribosomal RNA is filed under the name uncultured bacterium. RNAcentral describes it as "partial 16S ribosomal RNA". It matches the Rfam family "Bacterial small subunit ribosomal RNA", at positions 77 to 339 of the family's 1533-position model. The record is from RNAcentral.
CUCUCGGGAUUUUGAAGAGUGGCGAACGGGUGAGGAACACGUAAGAAUCUACCUUAUACAGGGGAAUAGCCCAGGGAAACUUGGAUUAAUGCCCCAUAGUAUCAUUAAGUAGCAUUACUUGAUGAUUAAAGAUUUAUCGGUAUAAGACGAGCAUGCGUCCCAUUAGUUAGUUGGUAAGGUAACGGCUUACCAAGACAGCGAUGGGUAGGGGCCCUGAGAGGGGGAUCCCCCACACUGGUACUGAGACACGGACCAGACUCC